RNAcentral lists this unclassified non-coding RNA (201 nucleotides) under Hevea brasiliensis (rubber tree). The record is from RNAcentral. Lineage: Eukaryota; Viridiplantae; Streptophyta; Magnoliopsida; Malpighiales; Euphorbiaceae.
GUGGCGGAGGCAGCUCUGUAUCUUGGAAGUGAAGAGUCUAGGUUUGUGAGUGGGUUGAAUCUUGUGGUUGAUGGAGGUCACAGCUUGAGAUGUGCAGAUUAUGGAAUCAAUAAGUAAUCUUGAUUUGUAUUUCAGGUUCUGAAUGCUUCUGUUGCUUUUGGCUUUACUUAAAUGUCAUCACAAUUCACAAGUGAAUAAAAU